Molecule: ribosomal RNA, 374 nt
Filed under: uncultured organism
Description: partial 16S ribosomal RNA
Rfam family: Bacterial small subunit ribosomal RNA
Source: RNAcentral
GGGAGGGGUGCAAGCGUUGUUCGGAAUUACUGGGCGUAAAGAGCGUGUAGGCGGCUAUGUAAGUCUGGGUGUGAAAGCCCGGGGCUUAACCCCGGAAGUGCAUUGGAUACUGCAUAGCUAGAGGACGAGAGAGGGAAGUGGAAUUCCUGGUGUAGGGGUGAAAUCCGUAGAUAUCAGGAGGAACAUCGGAAGCGAAGGCGGCUUCCUGGCUCGUUUCUGACGCUGAGACGCGAAAGCGUGGGUAGCAAACAGGAUUAGAUACCCUGGUAGUCCACGCCCUAAACGAUGGAUACUAGUCGUCGGGAUUCCUAAUAGUCUCGGUGGCGAAGCUAACGCGUUAAGUAUCCCGCCUGGGGAUUACGGUCGCAAGACUA